This 231-nucleotide unclassified non-coding RNA is filed under the name plant metagenome. Its description in RNAcentral is "partial contains small subunit ribosomal RNA, internal transcribed spacer 1, and 5.8S ribosomal RNA". The record is from RNAcentral.
UCUCCGUUGGUGAACCAGCGGAGGGAUCAUUACAGAGUUGCAAAACUCCCAAACCAUUGUGAACGUUACCUAUCCCGUUGCUUCGGCGGGCGGCCCGGGCCCCGCGCCCGGCGCCCCCCGGCCCCCCGUGGGCGCCCGCCGAAGGUAAACCAAACCCUUGAAUUGCAUGGCCUCUCUGAGUCUUCUGUACUGAAUAAGUCAAAACUUUCAACAACGGAUCUCUUGGUUCUG